GACGAACGCUGGCGGCGUGCUUAACACAUGCAAGUCGAACGGAAAGGCCUGCUUUCCCUUGUGGAUUGCGGGUACUCGAGUGGCGAACGGGUGAGUAACACGUGAGUGAUCUGCCCCCAACUUGGGUAUAAGCCUGGGAAACUGGGUCUAAUUCCCGAUAGGACUGCAGGGUGGUGCCUGUGGUGGAAAACGAUUUUCUAGUGGUUGGGGAUGAGCUCGCGGCCUAUCAGCUUGUUGGUGGGGUAAUGGCCUACCAAGGCGGCGACGGGUAGCCGGCAUGAGAGGGUGGACGGCCACAUUGGGACUGGGAUGCGGCCCAGACUCCUACGGGAGGCAGCAGUGGGGAAUAUUGCACAAUGGGCGGAAGCCUGAUGCAGCGACGCCGCGUGGGGGAUGACGGCCUUCGGGUUGUAAACUCCUUUCGACCGCGAGGAAGCCACCUGGUUGGAAGGGUGGUGACGGUAGUGGUAGAAGAAGCACCGGCUAACUACGUG
RNAcentral lists this ribosomal RNA (494 nucleotides) under uncultured bacterium. RNAcentral describes it as "partial 16S ribosomal RNA". It matches the Rfam family "Bacterial small subunit ribosomal RNA", at positions 28 to 507 of the family's 1533-position model. The record is from RNAcentral.